AGUGAACGCUGGCGGUAGGCCUAACACAUGCAAGUCGAACGGCAGCACAGUAAGAGCUUGCUCUUACGGGAGGCGAGUGGCGGACGGGUGAGGAAUACAUCGGAAUCUACUUUUUCGUGGGGGAUAACGUAGGGAAACUUACGCUAAUACCGCAUACGACCUACGGGUGAAAGCAGGGGAUCUUCGGACCUUGCGCGAUUGAAUGAGCCGAUGUCGGAUUAGCUAGUUGGCGGGGUAAAGGCCCACCAAGGCGACGAUCCGUAGCUGGUCUGAGAGGAUGAUCAGCCACACUGGAAGUGAGACACGGUCCAGACUCCUACGGGAGGCAGCAGUGGGGAAUAUUGGACAAUGGGCGCAAGCCUGAUCCAGCCAUACCGCGUGGGUGAAGAAGGCCUUCGGGUUGUAAAGCCCUGUUGUUGGGAAAGAAAAGCAGCAGGUUAAUACCCCGCUGUUCUGACGGUACCCAAAGAAUAAGCACCGGCUAACUUCGUG
Molecule: ribosomal RNA, 492 nt
Filed under: uncultured bacterium
Lineage: Bacteria
Description: partial 16S ribosomal RNA
Rfam family: Bacterial small subunit ribosomal RNA
Source: RNAcentral